Regulatory RNA element from Syntrophaceticus schinkii, 112 nucleotides. It matches the Rfam family "Glycine riboswitch aptamer". Rfam says of the family: This family represents the bacterial glycine riboswitch. Glycine riboswitches usually consist of two metabolite-binding aptamers domains with similar structures in tandem. NCBI's taxonomy places the organism in Bacteria, Bacillati, Bacillota, Clostridia, Thermoanaerobacterales, Thermoanaerobacterales Family III. Incertae Sedis. The record is from Rfam.
AUGAAGAAUACGGGAGAAUAAUGGCAAAUUGAGUGCCUUGACCGAAGAAGCAAGUUGUCACUAUACCCAGGGUGGCGAUGAAACUUUCAGGUAACAGGACCGUAUUUGGACA